UCCGCCUUGUUUUUUCAAAAACAUCGCCUCUUGAUUAAACAUAAGAGGUCCAGCCUGCCCAGUGACAUAGUUUAACGGCCGCGGUACCCUAACCGUGCGAAGGUAGCAUAAUCACUUGUUCUUUAAAUAGGGACUCGUAUCAACGGCAUCACGAGGGCUAUACUGUCUCCUUUCUCCAAUCAAUGAAACUGAUCUCCCCGUGAAGAAGCGGGGAUUAACCUAUAAGACGAGAAGACCCCAUGGAGCUUCAAACUCAACAUAUACCUCUACGCACUUAAACCACUUUAGCCCAAGAGACCUCUAUGUUAGUUUUGGGUUGGGGGGACCGCGGAGUAAAAAUUAACCUCCACGACAAACGGGCUUUAUGCCCUUAUCCACGAACCACAGCUCUAAGAAUCAAUAAACUGAUGUUUAUGACCCGAUUAUUCGAUCAACGAACCAAGUUACCCUGGGGAUAACAGCGCAAUCUACUUCAAGAGCCCCUAUCGACAAGUAGGUUUACGACCUCGAUGUUGGAUCAGGGUAUCCUAGUGGUGCAGCCGCUACUAAUGGUUCGUUUGUUCAACGAUUAAAACCCUACGUGAUCUGUUCAAAAACCGGAA
RNAcentral lists this ribosomal RNA (602 nucleotides) under Pelophylax plancyi (gold-spotted pond frog). RNAcentral's name for it is "partial large subunit ribosomal RNA". It matches the Rfam family "Bacterial large subunit ribosomal RNA", at positions 1795 to 2624 of the family's 2925-position model. Lineage: Eukaryota; Metazoa; Chordata; Amphibia; Anura; Ranidae. The record is from RNAcentral.